GAUCCCAGAGUGAUCCCUGUGGUCCCAGAGGGGUCCCUGUGAUCCCAGAGUGAUCCUGAGCUGUUCCCUUGGGGCUCAAACCAACACCAGUGAAAUCCUUCAUCCUCCUCCUUGCCUGAUGGGGCCAAAAGGCUGCGACAAACCCGGGGAUGUUGUUCCUGUGGACUCAAUGACUUGAUGACCAGCAGGAAACAUCGAAAUUGCCCCAUAAAAACUGUGUGUUGGUGGAGUUUUUAAUUUGUAGGAUGACUCGUGGUGCUGCAAUCGCUCUGAACCGAUGGCUCGCCCUCAGGGUGGGGUGAAGGGUGAAGGAAUAACCCUUUGACAUAUAAUUCUGAACAAAUUCCCACUAAUUCAGCCAUAAAUAGCUGAAGGCCUGAUCAACUUUGUAGAAACCUGCACGUUUUGUCCUUUUUUUAAUCCCGUUUGUUCCCUAUCCCACCAGAGGCCACCACGAACCUCAGCUGGGGGGGAAAAAACAAACAAAACCAAAAAAAAACAGAAAGAGGAAGAAAGCAAAGCAAUGGAAGGGGCACCUGCAGCUCUGAAUGGCCAAAGCUCCCGUUUCACGAGGAGAUUCAGAAGUGGAACUUGGAUCCCUCCAGAAACAACUUCUCCUCCCGCUGCGUCGGGAGCGACUCCCGGAGCCAGGGAAUGAUCUCAGGCCGCUGAGAUCAGAUUCUGCUGAGUGUGUGCAGGGUUAGGCAUGAUGUUCCUUGCCCUUUCCAGAGAAGUUCUCCCCCUCUCCAAACCGUGCCUUGAGGUUUGAUUUUCCUCGGGAAGCCUUGGCCCUUCUUCUGCUGCCUCGGCAUCUCCGCCUUGGCCUUUGCCGUCCCCGUUUAUCCACCUGAGGCCUGGGGUUCCUGGAAUUGCCUGCGCUUUUCCUGGAAGAAGCGUCGCAGGGGCGGAAUGGCUUGUGCAGGAGGCCUUCAAAAGGGCUGAGAAGGUGUCCAGGAGGCACAGAGGCAGCUGGAGUUUGGAUUCCACCCUCCCGAGGGGGUGUUUUCUGGUCUCCGGGAACCGCUCGCGCCCGACGUGCCCUGGCUGGAGGGGGAAGGUUGAUGGAAGAUCCUGCCGUGCUGUGCUGGCCAAAAUUGGGCUUUGUGGAAGGAACAUUCCAAAAAAAAAAAUUAAAAAAAAAAUGCAGAGGCUCAAACUCCUCAUUUCCAUGGGGGGAUUAAAAUGACUUCAUCACCACCGGGCUCGAGUUGUACCCUCACAACCUUUGGGUGGGAAGAGCAGUUCAGGUGAAUCAAGGGCUGACUUUAGGCCUUUUUGCACAGGCCACGAUCCUGAAAAAUAUCGGGAAAAACCAGCAGCUUUGCUCUCGUGGCUGUUUUUCAGCUUUGGGCGGGUGGGGUCGGGAGGAGGGUUUGCCAGAACUCUCCAGAGCCAGUUCGUUCCUCCUGUGAGAUCUCUGGGGCUGAUAUUUUCUUGAAAACUCCAGAGGUUUGGAUUAGUCUCCAGCCCCCAUCGUUCUGGAGGGCUUCCCACCCCUUGUGAGCCUGUACACGCCGUUUUUCCAUUUCUCUGGGGGCGAUUAAAAAAUAAAAAUAAAUAAAAUAUCCCCAAAAA
This is a long non-coding RNA of Neopelma chrysocephalum (saffron-crested tyrant-manakin), 1575 nucleotides long. RefSeq lists it as uncharacterized. NCBI's taxonomy places the organism in Eukaryota, Metazoa, Chordata, Aves, Passeriformes, Pipridae. The transcript is spliced from 2 exons. The record is from RefSeq and is a predicted model, not a curated record.